This 253-nucleotide ribosomal RNA is filed under the name uncultured bacterium. RNAcentral's name for it is "partial 16S ribosomal RNA". It matches the Rfam family "Bacterial small subunit ribosomal RNA", at positions 524 to 776 of the family's 1533-position model. The record is from RNAcentral.
UACGUAGGGGGCAAGCGUUGUCCGGAAUCAUUGGGCGUAAAGAGCGUGUAGGCGGUUCGGUAAGUCUGCUGUGAAAGUCCAGGGCUCAACCCUGGGAUGCCGGUGGAUACUGUCGGACUAGAGUACGGAAGAGGCGAGUGGAAUUCCCGGUGUAGCGGUGAAAUGCGCAGAUAUCGGGAGGAACACCAAUUGCGAAGGCAGCUCGCUGGGACGUCACUGACGCUGAGACGCGAAAGCGUGGGGAGCAAACAGG